UGGGGAAUAUUGGACAAUGGGCGCAAGCCUGAUCCAGCCAUGCCGCGUGGGUGAUGAAGGCCUUAGGGUUGUAAAGCCCUUUCGGCGGGGAAGAUAAUGACGGUACCCGCAGAAGAAGCCCCGGCUAACUUCGUGCCAGCAGCCGCGGUAAUACGAAGGGGGCUAGCGUUGCUCGGAAUUACUGGGCGUAAAGCGCACGUAGGCGGCUUGUUAAGUCGGGGGUGAAAUCCCGGAGCUCAACUCCGGAACUGCCUUCGAUACUGGCAAGCUCGAGUCCGGGAGAGGUGAGUGGAACUGCGAGUGUAGAGGUGAAAUUCGUAGAGAUCGGGAGGAACAUCUGUGGCGAAGGCGACUGCCUGGACCAGCACUGACACUGAGGCACGAAAGCGUGGGGAGCAAACA
Molecule: ribosomal RNA, 402 nt
Filed under: uncultured bacterium
Lineage: Bacteria
Description: bacterial SSU rRNA
Rfam family: Bacterial small subunit ribosomal RNA
Source: RNAcentral